RNAcentral lists this ribosomal RNA (498 nucleotides) under uncultured Glomeromycotina. RNAcentral's name for it is "partial small subunit ribosomal RNA". It matches the Rfam family "Eukaryotic small subunit ribosomal RNA", at positions 591 to 1092 of the family's 1831-position model. Lineage: Eukaryota; Fungi; Glomeromycota. The record is from RNAcentral.
CCAAUAGCGUAUAUUAAAGUUGUUGCAGUUAAAAAGCUCGUAGUUGAAUUUCGGGAUUAGUGCGCCGGUCGUGCCUUCGGUAUGUACUGGUGUUACUGGUUCCUACCUUCUGACGAACCGUCAUGUCAUUAAUUUGGUGUGGCGGGGAAUCAGGACUGUUACUUUGAAAAAAUUAGAGUGUUUAAAGCAGGCUCGCGCUUGAAUACAUUAGCAUGGAAUAAUGAGAUAGGACGUUCGAUCCUAUUUUGUUGGUUCCUAGGAUUGACGUAAUGAUUAAUAGGGAUAGUUGGGGGCAUUAGUAUUCAAUUGUCAGAGGUGAAAUUCUUGGAUUUAUUGAAGACUAACUACUGCGAAAGCAUUUGCCAAGGAUGUUUUCAUUAAUCAAGAACGAAAGUUAGGGGAUCGAAGACGAUCAGAUACCGUCGUAGUCUUAACCAUAAACUAUGCCGACUAGGGAUCGGAUGAUGUUAUUUUUAAUGACUCAUUCGGCGCCUUACG